GCGUUGCCGGUCAGCACCACAAAAUCUUUCGCCAGCUCGUAAUGCAUAUGGGAAGCGUGGCCUUUCACCGGCUUACCGUUGUCCUGCAUCUGGUAGAAGGUGGCCGGAUUGCCGUAACCG
This 120-nucleotide ribosomal RNA is filed under the name Salmonella sp. FORC89. Lineage: Bacteria; Pseudomonadati; Pseudomonadota; Gammaproteobacteria; Enterobacterales; Enterobacteriaceae. The record is from RNAcentral.